AACCAUAGAAACCUGCGGAGUACCUGCGGAAGGAUCAUUACCGAGUUUACAACUCCCAAACCCCUGUGAACAUACCUAUACGUUGCCUCGGCGGAUCAGCCCGCGCCCCGUAAAACGGGACGGCCCGCCCGAGGACCCUAAACUCUGUUUUUAGUGGAACUUCUGAGUAAAACAAACAAAUAAAUCAAAACUUUCAGCAACGGAUCU
Molecule: unclassified non-coding RNA, 207 nt
Filed under: soil metagenome
Description: partial contains 5.8S ribosomal RNA, internal transcribed spacer 2, and large subunit ribosomal RNA
Source: RNAcentral